GUGAAUCAUCAAAUUUUUGAACGCAUAUUGCACUCUCUGGUAUUCCGGAGAGUAUGCCUGUUUGAGGGUCAGUUAAAUAAAAAUCGGGGUUUGUGCCUCCUUUGGGUGUUACGCUUCGGAAUUUGGUCGUCUUUACCUUUCGGUUAGGGGACUUAAAAUUUUUAAGUGAUAUCUGAACGUAUUUAAAUUUAUUUGGUACGGCUUGUAAUAUCGAAUGUUUAUUAGAAGUAGUCUUCCGCAUGACUCACGUCUAUAAUUUU
Molecule: unclassified non-coding RNA, 260 nt
Filed under: Glomeromycotina sp.
Lineage: Eukaryota; Fungi; Glomeromycota
Description: partial contains 5.8S ribosomal RNA and internal transcribed spacer 2
Rfam family: 5.8S ribosomal RNA (bases 1-71)
Source: RNAcentral